RNAcentral lists this ribosomal RNA (116 nucleotides) under Bacillus subtilis. The record is from RNAcentral. Lineage: Bacteria; Bacillati; Bacillota; Bacilli; Caryophanales; Bacillaceae.
GUGGGUAGCGAUAGCGAAGAGGUCACACCCGUUCCCAUACCGAACACGGAAGUUAAGCUCUUCAGCGCCGAUGGUAGUCGGGGGUUUCCCCCUGUGAGAGUAGGACGCCGCCAAGC